CACAAAGUGGGCGGAGCCAAUGACGUCACCAGCGUCCUGUUUAUUAGUCACGCCGCUAAUGAGCGCAAUUAAUUUUUCCUUUUAAUUGAAUUGUUGCGUUUGAAGUGAAAAAUUUGAGGUUUUUUUCCCGCGUUUUUGGGGGUUUUUGGGGGUUUUUUUGCACCCGAAGGGAAACCCCAAAAUUUGGGGUGAAAUCCGCCGGUUUUGGGGCUCCCCGGAUUCAGAAAUUUGGGAAUUUUGGGGCUCCUCCCCCCGCCCAAAGCGGGGCCCAGGCGAGCUCCGGGAAUUUCGGGAUUUUUCCAGAACGUUCCGCCCGCGGCCGCUCCGGAACCUGGGGAGAGAGGCCCAAAAUUCACCCAAAAACCCCAAAAUUCACCCAAAAAAAUCCCAAAAUUCACCCCAAAAAAUCCCAAAAUUCACCCCAAAAACACCCCCAAAAAAUCACAAAAUUCACCCAAAAAAACCCCAAAAUUCACCCCAAAAACACCCCCAAAAAAAUCCCAAAAUUCACCCCAAAAAACCCCAAAAUUCACCCCAAAAACACCCCCCAAAAAAUCCCAAAAUUCACCCAAAAUCCCCAAAAUUCACCCAAAAAACAUCCCCCAAAAAAUCCCACAAUUCACGCAAAAAGAACCCCAAAAAAAUCCCACAAUUAACCCAAAAAAAGCCCCAAAAAUUCCUAAAAUUCACCCAAGAACCCCCAAAAUUCACCCAAAAAACACCCCCCAAAAAAUCCCAAAAUUCACCCCAAAAAAAUCCCAAAAAAAAUCCCAAAAUUCACCCAAAAAACCACAAAAUUCCCCCCCAAAAAAGCCCAAAAUUCACCCAAUAAAAGCCCCAAAAAAGGCCAAAAUUCACCCAAAAGCUCCAAAAAAUCCCAAAAUUCACCCCAAAAAGGCCAAAAUUCACCCAAAAAAUCCCAAAAUUCACCCCAAAAAACCCCAAAAUUCAUCCCAAAAAUCCAAAAAUUCACCCAAAAAUCGGCCAAAAUUCACCCCAAA
RNAcentral lists this long non-coding RNA (1001 nucleotides) under Lonchura striata (white-rumped munia). Its description in RNAcentral is "domestica (Bengalese finch) lncRNA (ENSLSDG00000010803.1)". Lineage: Eukaryota; Metazoa; Chordata; Aves; Passeriformes; Estrildidae. The record is from RNAcentral.